RNA transcript from Arachis stenosperma, 4978 nucleotides. RefSeq lists it as uncharacterized. The record is from RefSeq and is a predicted model, not a curated record. NCBI's taxonomy places the organism in Eukaryota, Viridiplantae, Streptophyta, Magnoliopsida, Fabales, Fabaceae. The transcript has 3 exons.
CCUUUCUAUACCUUCUCUGAUUCAUUCCUUUGCUCUCUUUUGUUGAUUAUUCUAUUCAUCUUAUAAUGCCUUUAUUCUUCUUCUUUGUCAGGUUAUCAUGAACGUGGAGCUUGGCUGAUUCACUCCUCAAAUACUUUGUUAAUUUUUGUUGCUAUUUCCUUCAUAGUUCUAUUUGACUUGUAUCUCUCUAUUUCCCUUUUUACUAUUCCAUUGCUCAUCCCAAAGUCGUAAUAAAAUCCAUUCCCAUUGAGAUAACACUUGCAUAAAGACCAUGGAGGAGAAUAUCAAGCGUUUAUUCCAGAUAGUUCAAUCGGUAUCGGAGGACAAUAACGCUAAGCGUGACCGCGUCAUGGAGGCGACUGAUUUGAAGCUAGAAGCGAUCCAGACUUCCAUCACACAGCUCCUUUCCGAUCAUAAACGUGACCAUUCUUUCAUGCAUGAGUCAUCAACAGGAUCGCACUCAGGAGCCGACAACUUCUAUCGAUGUGGCAGCAACAAAAGGUGAGUUUUGAUUUACCUAAAUUUGAUAUCUCCGAUGGGCUGGGUUGGAUCUUCUCUGCAGACCAAUACUUUGAUUUCUUUAGCAUUCUGAAAGAAGACCAAAUCAGUCUUGUUGCAAUACAUAUGACGGGCAUGGCCAUACCUUGGUUCCAAAUGUCUCAGUGUUCAGCACCAUUUCGCUCAUGGAAUCAACUUAAACAUGCCAGUGGGAUUGAGUUCGGACCUUCACUUUUCAAAUCUCCACGGGAAUUGAUCUUCAAGCUGCAACAGCAAGGCUCAGUGAGUAAUUAUUAUGUUGAAUUUAUCGCUCUUGCUAACCGCACUCACAUUCAUCCACUCAAUGCUUUGAGAGAUUGUUUCAUUAGUGUCCUCCGACCUGAUAUUAAGCGCGAGGUCAAGGCACAAUGCCCCCCUUUGCUAAUGAAGGUGGUGAGUUUGGCUAGAUUAUAUGAAGAUAAGUUUUCUUCCGCUCCUCGCCAUACUUCUGAUCCUACAUCUUAUCGAUCUCAGUUUCAGACUCCAGCUCCACAAUCACAAAUCAGAACACCUCCACGAAAUACCUUGCCGCCACUUUUACCUACUCCCAACCAAAAAUUGACCUUUCCUUCUUCCUGAAACCAGGUCCGAAAACUCUCCCCUGCUGAAAUUGAGAACCGGAGGGAAAAAGGGAAUGAUGAGCAAGACCUAGAUGAGAAUAAUGCAAUGGUCUCAACAGAGGACGGUCUUCUACAGCAGCUAAAUCAAGAGGUAAUUGAACAUCACCUCUCCUACAAUGCCAUGCAUUACACGUCGGGACCGACCACCAUUCUCAUCAAGGCAUAUCUUGGAAAAUUGGAGGUGCAAGUUUUGAUAGAUGGGGGAAGCUCAAACUGUUUUAUUCAACCCCAAAUUGAUAAGUUUUUGAAACUUCCGAUUGAGGCAGCACCGGGUUUUCUUGUGAUUGUGGGAACUUUUGAUGUCAUGCAAGUAGAGGACAGAGUUCCAUCGCUUGAGGUCACCUUGCAAGGGUACAAGGUUCAAAUUCCAAAUGCCUACGUCUUACAUGUGGCUGGGGGGACCUUGUUAUCGGAAGGACUUAGUUGAAGCGAUUGAGAACUCACAUUGUGGAUUAUGAGGCCACUUAUAUUCGAUUUCUUCAUGAAGAGAUUUUGAUAACUAUGUUUGGUGAAAGAGCAACCACCCCGACACUUGCUUAGUUCCAUCACAUUUGGCAGCUAGUUAACACUGAUUCAAUCGUCGAGGCUUUUGCAUUAAACUUCAGCAGCCAGAGGAGGAAGCUACCCUAACCUUGUAACUCCCUGACAAUAUGCAACCUGAUCUGGUUUUAUUGCUUCAUACUUAUGCAAGUGUCUUUGCACACCUUAUUGGCCUUCCGCCGUAGUGAUUAGAUGACCAUCACAUUCCUCUAGUCAAGGAUGCAGCACCUGUCAAAGUGCAACCUUAUCGGUAUCCACACAGUCAAAAGGCUCAAAUAAAGUUUAUGGUACAACAAAUGUUGGAUGAGGUAAUAAUUUACCUGAGCAAGAGCCCUUUUUUUCUCUCUGAUUUUACUUGUCAAAAAGAAAGAUGUUACGUGGCAGUGUUGUACUGAUUAUCAGGCAUUAAACAACAUUACUGUCAAAGAUAGUUUUUUUAAUAGCCAUUUGUGAUGAAUUGUUAGACAUAUUAUUCAGAGCUUGUGUCUUCUUUAAGCUGGAUUUACGCUCCGGCUAUCACCAAAUCUUGGUCAGGCCUAAGGAUAGAUAUAAGACAGCUUUUCGAACUCUUCAGGGCCGUUAUGAAUGGCUUGUCAUGCCAUUUGGGUACCCCAAUGCACCACCAACAUUCUAAACUUUGAUGAAUGAUGUUUUUCGGCCACAUUUAAGUAAAUUUAUUCUUGUUUUUUGGAUAACAUUUUGGUUUAUAGCUCUUCGUGGAGUAUGCACUUACACCAUUUGGAGAUAGUGUUGAAAUUGUUGCAACAAGAGACUUUGUAUGCCAAGCUCUCCAAGUGCUCAUUUGUGUUUGCUGACAUUGAUUAUCUGGGCCACACAGUCUCAAGAAGUGGAGUUCACAUGGAAAAAGCUAAAGUGCAGCCAAUUUUAGAUUGGCCACAACCCAUGAAUGUGAAAUAGCUCGGGGGAUUUUUAGGGCUUACGGGGUACUAUUGCCUGUUUAUCAGUCAUUAUGCUUCUAUAGCGGCACCCCUCACCAAUUUACUUAAGAAAGAUGCAUUCAAUCGGGAUGAGAAAGCUACUCAGGCAUUCCAACAUCUUAAGACUUUCAUUGCUUCUCAACCAAUUCUUGCUCUCUCUAAAUUCAAAUUGCCGUUCGAAGUUGAGAUCGAUAUGUCAGGAAUUGGCAUUGGUGCAGUUAUGAUGCAAGGAAAGCAUCCAAUAGCUUAUUUUUUGAAGAAAUUAUCCCCCUCUAUGCAGAAACAGUCCGCUUACACCCAGGAGUUCUAUGCCACUACUAAAGUCGUAGAAAAAUUCCAUUAUUACUUACUGAAAAAGAAGUUUGUCAUCCGUACUGAUCAAGAAAGCCUGAAAUCCCUAGUAGAUCAGACUUUGCAUACACCUGAGCAGCAGAAAAUGUUGCAUAAGCUCCUUGGGUAUGACUUCAAACUCCAAUAUAAGCCUGGCCAUGAGAACGCAACAGCUGAUGCUCUUUCUUGCUAUUUUUUCGUGACAUGGUCCAGCCUCAAAUUGGAGUGGUUGCAAUCUUUAAUGGUUGAGAUAGAUGCUGAUAACUGCCUCAAGAAACUCUGGUAGCACAGCACUAAUCAAGUUCAAGGUGAUGGGCACUACUCCGUGAGAAAUAGAAUUUUGUUGUGGAAAAACAAGGUAGUUAUUCCCUCCAAUAGUCGUUUGAUUCAACUCAUUCACAAGGAGUACCAUGAUAGCCCAAGUGGUGGCCACUCAGGCAUAGCAAAAACCGUUGAGAGAAUAUGUUCUAACUUUUAUUGGUAGAACAUGCACUAGGAUAUUCAGGAUUAUGUCUUGAGUUGCACCAUCUGUUAGCAAGCAAAGGCCGAUACGUUGAAGCCUACAGGCUUGUUGCAACUGCUACCGAUCCCUCAUCGAAUAUGGGAGGAUAUAUGUAUGGAUUUUAUAACGUCCUUACCAUCAUCUCAUGGCUAUUCAGUGAUUAUGGUUGUUGUUGAUCUGCUCACAAAAUUUGCUCACUUCAUAGCACUGAGACAUGAUUUUGAUAGCAAGUCCGUGGCCGAUGCCUUCAUGAAAAACAUUGUUAUACUUCAUGGAUUUUCCAAAUCCAUUGUAUCAGACUAGAAUCGUGUUUUUAUCAGUCGUUUCUGGCAGCAGCUGUUUAGUGCUUAAGGAUUAAGCUAGCGACGAGUUCUGCAUACCAUUCCCAAACCGACGGUCAGAGCAAGGUAUUAAAUAAAACCUUAGAGAUGUACCUUCGAUGCUUCUGCGUUGAAAAUUCGAAUAAAUGGUUGGAGAUGCUUUCGUAGGCCCAAUUUUGGUACAAUUCUUCUGUCCAUAAGAGUAUAAAAAUGUCCCCUUAUAAAGCCUUGUAUGGUCUUGACUCUCCCUCUUUAGUGCGAUAUGAACUUUCUUCUAUUGAUGACCAAUCUUUGCAAGAAUUAUUGGUGGCAAGGGAAGUAACUCAAGAGUAACCUGCUGGAAUCUCAGCAAUUUAUGAUGUCAUAUGCCGACAAGUAUCAAUGCCAUAUUGAGUUGGUAGAAAGGGAUAUGGUGCUGGUGAAGUUGCAACCAUACAGGUAACAUUACGUUGCGCUGCGUAAGAGCAGAAGUUGGGUAUGCGCUUCUAUGAUCCCUUUAAAAUCAUCAAGAAAUUGAGUUUUGUGGCCUACAAGCUUGAGCUCCCUCAAAAAGCUCGGAUCCACAAUGUUUUUCACAUUUCAGCCCUCAAGAAAUUUCGGGAGAGCAUCAGCAACACUAUCUACCUUUGCCUCUUCAGUCCAUGGAGGGAGGCCUGAUUAUUUCUCCUCAUGCUGUUCUAUCAAGGAGAACAAUGAUCAAAAAUGAUAAAAAAAAAAACAAUAGCCUAAGGUUCAAUGCGGACAAGGUCAGGGGGCUGAGCAUACUUGAAAAGUGGCAAAGGACUUUAUCAAGGCUUAACCAAAUUUCAACCUUGAGGACAAGAUUGAGGUUAAAAAGAGGGGUAAUGUAAGGAAUAUAAAUAAAGUUAGUAAUAUGAAAGGAAAUGAUGCUGAGCUGAAUGACCAAAUGGAAGAGCUAGUGCCUAAUGAAGAAGAAUUGGUUGAAAAACUGAGACACGUGACAACCAAUCCAAGAAUUUUGAGGCUGAGAAGGAGCUUGAGAGAACGUACUAUUAGUAGAAGGUUGUAGGACCAUGUUAGUAAGUUUCGUUGUGGUAUUGUCUCUUUAUCUCUCCUUCUUUUUUUCUGACCCCUUUUUGUACCUUCUCUAGUUCAUUUCUCUACUCUCCUCUGAUUAUUCUAUUCAUCUUAUAAUGUCCUUAUUCUUCUUCUUUAGCAGAUUAUCAUAAA